CAGUAAAAUUUGAAUUUGUGAUAAACAAUGAGUAAUGUCUUUAGUCUAAGUAUAUCCCACACAGUAUUUGGGACAUACUUAUACUAAAAUAAUAUUUGUUUGUUUGAAAUUCAGAUGUAACU
Molecule: microRNA precursor, 122 nt
Filed under: Tursiops truncatus (common bottlenose dolphin)
Lineage: Eukaryota; Metazoa; Chordata; Mammalia; Artiodactyla; Delphinidae
Description: miRNA (ENSTTRG00000023624.1)
Source: RNAcentral